Long non-coding RNA from Salvelinus sp. IW2-2015, 216 nucleotides. RefSeq lists it as uncharacterized. Lineage: Eukaryota; Metazoa; Chordata; Actinopteri; Salmoniformes; Salmonidae. The record is from RefSeq and is a predicted model, not a curated record.
AUGGAUAUCAAAGAUUCACCUGUGAAGGGAGGUAUCUCUAUACUGCACACAGAGGAGGAUGGGAAACACCACUAUGAAGUGGAGAAGAUCCUCAAGUUCAAGAACGAGGGAGGAGCCUUCGCCAGAGAAGGAGACAAGCUCCUGACMAUCAAUGGAGUGGCCCUACAGGAUCUAUCCCCAGAGGCCUUCGCCAAGAUUCUGACGGAAGGAAACCCC